This 3917-nucleotide long non-coding RNA is filed under the name Gadus morhua (Atlantic cod). RNAcentral describes it as "lncRNA (ENSGMOG00000025448.1)". Lineage: Eukaryota; Metazoa; Chordata; Actinopteri; Gadiformes; Gadidae. The record is from RNAcentral.
AGGGAACCAGCAGAGCGCAGCUCUCCAGUCAAUUGGUUCCAAGCAUCUGGCAUAAUGGAAUGUGCAGUGGACAUUCCCUCAGGUGAGGACGAGGCCACGGAGAGGGAUGACCUCAACGCCAAGGAAGAGGGCGUUGACACCCCUCACAAGAAGAACAAGAAGCACAGGAAACACAAGAGCAAGAAGAAGAAGCGGCGCCGGAAAGGAGACAAGGAGAGCAGCUCUGAAUCUGGUGCAGAAUCUGAGGCGGAGCAGCCCCCCUCCCAGAGGGCGGUGAGGAACACCAGAGCCAGUGCCAGACUAGCAUCUACCACGGGGGCUGCAGAUCAAGUCGGGCCAAAGGAGGGCAGCAAAAAAGACGGCAUCACAGAAUCGGAGGUAGACGCAAAGACCAAAAAGCACAAAAAGCACGCUUCCAAAAAGAAGAAAAAGAAGAAGAAGAAGGACGAGAAGCAGGACCGCAGAUCCCCGUCCCACUCGGCGUCUGAGAGCAGCUCCGCGUCGGGCUCUGACUCGGAGCCGGACGAAGGCAAGGGGCCGCGCGAUGCGCCCGAGGCCGUGUCCAAGCUGCUGCCCAAGGGCAAGCGAGGGGCAGAGAAACUCGAAGCGCCUCACGCCAAGCAGGACGAGAGCACGGAGAACAACGUUUUCUCCUCCACAGGGAAGAACGGCAGCACCAACGGUUCGGUGCAGGUGAUGUCGCCCUCUGCUGGCCAGGACCAAGCCCACCCGGCUGGGGUUGACGUCAGAAUCGAGGGGAACCACGGUGAUGGCAGUUUCAGCCACGCGCUCCCCGACAUCAUACCUAAACAGGAAGGCACAGCGUCACAAGACGACCCUGCUCUAAAAGAUGAGGUCAACGUGAACCAAAGGGCCCCGGGGGCAGAGCGGGAGGGCUCCAGGUCCCCGUCCGCGUCCCCCCAGCGUGCCCCUGGGAUCAAACGCUCCGGGUCGAGUCACAGUCGGUCUUCCACGCCCAGCCCAAGGCGCCAGCAGACAAGGGCUCCAGCCGCCACAGACAAGGAUUCUAAAGAGCGCUCCCAAACGAGAUCGAGGUCCUCAUCGGAGGCCAACGGGUCCGUCUCACCGCCACAGACCAGGGAGCGCUCGCGCUCCACCUCCCACUCCCCCAAGUCUGAGAGGAAGUCUGCUUCUCUGUCUCCCAAAAGACCGCUCCGCCACACCGGCUCCCCGAAGAGAGACAGGAAGCUGUCCCGCUCCACGUCGCGCUCCCUGUCCCCCAAGAGAAAGAAGAAGGCCAAGUCCCCCAAGAGGUCCAAGCGCCAGUCGUUAUCCGCUUCUCCCAAGCGAAGGAGGAGGACGUUGUCGGCGUCACCCAAGCGGCGGCGCCCGAGCCCCCCGAGGAGGAAGCUCUCUCCUAAACGCGGGCUGCGUCGGUCCCCUUCCCCGCGUAGAAACCGGCGGUCCAAGUCCAGGUCCGCUGCCCGCCGCUCCAGGACGCGGUCUCCUCGGCGUACCGCCGUCGGCCGCCGCUCGCACUCUCGUUCGGUGGGCCGGACCCGGCGGCCCGCUAGGCGGUCCCGCACCCCGGUGAGGCGGGGGGGCGGCAGGCGCUCCGGGAGCCGCUCACCCGAGACCCGGCGGCGGAGGUCUCCGCUGCCACCGCCCUCUCGGACGCGGCGUUCCCGCUCAAGGUCCACGAGGCGUUCGAGGCGCACACGCUCACGCUCCGUCGUGGUGCUCAGACGCAAGCGCCGCACCAAGUCCCGGAGUCCCCGGAAAAAGAGUAAGUCCCGAACACCGCCUUCCCGCCGGCGUUCCAAGUCUAGGUCCCCUGGGGCCCGGAGGCGAUCGAACUCCCCCAGCAAGAGGAACCGCUCGCCGCCCAGGUCCUUGAAGCGCUCCAAGUCGCGCUCGUUGUCAAGGCGAUACAGGUCAAAGUCCCACACACCGGCCCCUGCCGGGAGGCAGUCCAAGUCCCCCAGUAAGAGCUUGAGGAGGUCGCUGUCUAAGUCCGCCUCGCCUGCCCCGAACCGCUCUCGGUCUGGCUCCAGUGAGAGGGCGUCUGGGAGCGCCUCCCCAGGGCAGGACAGGGAGCCCUCCCCCUCGCCGUCCAAGGCAGAGACGGCAGAGGACACUGAAGGAGCUGCAGACGCCGCGCCCGCAGCAGGCCCCUGGAAGCCCCUGCCCUUAUCCAACGCUGACCCCAGCGCCGCGCCCGCCGGCUCCUCGCCCCGGCCCACACCCAACCACCAGGGGGCCCGCUCUCCUUCCGAGCGGGACGGCUCCCGCUCCCCUUCUGCCUCUCCUGAGUGCGCGGCGGGCCCCGCCGGCUCCGGGGCCUCUGGAGACUCCACAGGGGAGGAGGAGGAGGCGGAGGAGGUAGGGGCUGAGAAGGCAGCUUCUCCUCUAAAGCCCAAGCAGCCCUGGAGCUCCUCGGGCUCCGUCUCCCCCGUCCGGACGGAGAAGAAGCAGCACUCCCCGUCUCGCUCCCCCGCUGCCCCGCCCCACAGGAAGACGUCGCCCUCCCCCAGGCGCUCGUCCUCCAAGAGGAGGUCGGUGUCCAAGAGGAGGUCGGUGUCCAAGAGGAGGUCGGUGUCCAAGAGGAGGUCGGUGUCCAAGAGGAGGUCGGUGUCCAGGAGGAAGCAGUCCAGGUCCAAGUCUCCAGUCAAGAAGAAGGCGUCACCGCCCGAGCGCAAAAAGCGCCGCUCCAAGUCCCGGAGCCCCGCCCAUCGUCGGCGGGCCAGCCGCUCGCGCUCGGCUGCGCGCCGGCGGAAGUCCCGCUCCAAGUCCCGGGCCAGGACCCGCCGAUCCAAGUCCCGCUCCCCUGCACGCAAGAGGCGCAGCCGCUCCCCCGCCGGCCGUGCCCGCAAGCGAUCCAAGACCCCCAAGCGAUCCAAGAGCCGCUCGGCUGGACGGCGGAAGCGCUCACACUCGCGCUCCCCGAGCCGCCGCCGCCGCUCACGCUCCAGGGGGCGGGGCCGGCGGCCUGCAUUCCGUAGCCGCUCCUUCGACCGGCGGGACCGGUGGAAGAGAGAGCCCAGCCACUCCCCCGUGCUCAUCCUACGCAAGCAGCGUCGCUCCGGGUCCCGCUCACGCCGCAGCGGCAGCAAAACCCCGCCGCGGCUCACAGACCUGGAUAAGGACCAGCUGCUGGAGAUCGCCAAGGCCAACGCGGCUGCCAUGUGCGCCAAGGCUGGGGUGCCCAUCCCCGAGAGCCUGCGACCCAAAGCCAUCCUCCAGCUCCCGCUCCCCACGCCCUCCCCCACCCCGCUCUCCCUGCCCCUCCCCCUGCCCAUGCCCAUGGGCAUGGGGAUGGGCAUGGGCAACAUGGGGCAAAUGGGCAUGGGCAACAUGGGGCCAAUGGGCAUGGGCAGCAUGUCCAAUAUGACCAUGAGCGCCGCCAUGGCCAGCAUGACAGCGGCAACCAUGACGGCGGCCCUGUCCAACAUGGGUGCACUGGCCUCCAUGCCCCCCCUGGCCCCGCUGCCUACCAUCACCAACAAGCCCCCGCCCUGCCUGGCGCCGCCCGCACCCCCCCUCAACCUGGGCCACAUCGAGGAGGUGAAGAGGAAGGUGACCCAGCAGGCCAACAUACACACCAUCAAGGAGCUCACCGAGAAGUGCAAGAUGAUCGCCAACAGCAAGGAGGAGAUGGCCAUCGCUAAACCCCACGUCUCGGAUGAUGAGAGCUAGAGCAUCGUGUGUCCUCGCGGUGCCGGAGCUCCCUCUAAUGGACCGGAGUGGAUGUUCUGUGUUUUAUAGUUUGGACUUGAGGACUAACCUAUCCCACAGUUCGCCCGACUCCACCUCCUCUAUCAGUGACAAGAGCACCCUAGUUGUCAUGGUAACAGUAGAGGAGCAGCAGUCACACCUGGUUUAUUUGUGCGUGUGUGUGCGGUGCACGAGGGACCGGCGAGGAGACGCUGCAGUGACCCCACUGGGGACACAUUCCG